RNAcentral lists this ribosomal RNA (1525 nucleotides) under Klebsiella pneumoniae. RNAcentral describes it as "bacterial SSU rRNA". It matches the Rfam family "Bacterial small subunit ribosomal RNA". Lineage: Bacteria; Pseudomonadati; Pseudomonadota; Gammaproteobacteria; Enterobacterales; Enterobacteriaceae. The record is from RNAcentral.
UUGAAGAGUUUGAUCAUGGCUCAGAUUGAACGCUGGCGGCAGGCCUAACACAUGCAAGUCGAGCGGUAGCACAGAGAGCUUGCUCUCGGGUGACGAGCGGCGGACGGGUGAGUAAUGUCUGGGAAACUGCCUGAUGGAGGGGGAUAACUACUGGAAACGGUAGCUAAUACCGCAUAACGUCGCAAGACCAAAGUGGGGGACCUUCGGGCCUCAUGCCAUCAGAUGUGCCCAGAUGGGAUUAGCUAGUAGGUGGGGUAACGGCUCACCUAGGCGACGAUCCCUAGCUGGUCUGAGAGGAUGACCAGCCACACUGGAACUGAGACACGGUCCAGACUCCUACGGGAGGCAGCAGUGGGGAAUAUUGCACAAUGGGCGCAAGCCUGAUGCAGCCAUGCCGCGUGUGUGAAGAAGGCCUUCGGGUUGUAAAGCACUUUCAGCGGGGAGGAAGGCGUUAAGGUUAAUAACCUUGGCGAUUGACGUUACCCGCAGAAGAAGCACCGGCUAACUCCGUGCCAGCAGCCGCGGUAAUACGGAGGGUGCAAGCGUUAAUCGGAAUUACUGGGCGUAAAGCGCACGCAGGCGGUCUGUCAAGUCGGAUGUGAAAUCCCCGGGCUCAACCGGGAACUGCAUUCGAAACUGGCAGGCUAGAGUCUUGUAGAGGGGUAGAAUUCCGUGUAGCGGUGAAAUGCGUAGAGAUCUGGAGGAAUACCGGUGGCGAAGGCGGCCCCGACAAAGACUGACGCUCAGGUGCGAAAGCGUGGGGAGCAAACAGGAUUAGAUACCCGGUAGUCCACGCCGUAAACGAUGUCGAUUUGGAGGUUGUGCCCUUGAGGCGUGGCUUCCGGAGCUAACGCGUUAAAUCGACCGCCCGGGAGUACGGCCGCAAGGUUAAAACUCAAAUGAAUUGACGGGGCCCGCACAAGCGGUGGAGCAUGUGGUUUAAUUCGAUGCAACGCGAAGAACCUUACCUGGUCUUGACAUCCACAGAACUUUCCAGAGAUGGAUUGGUGCCUUCGGGAACUGUGAGACAGGUGCUGCAUGGCUGUCGUCAGCUCGUGUUGUGAAAUGUUGGGUUAAGUCCCGCAACGAGCGCAACCCUUAUCCUUUGUUGCCAGCGGUUCGGCCGGGAACUCAAAGGAGACUGCCAGUGAUAAACUGGAGGAAGGUGGGGAUGACGUCAAGUCAUCAUGGCCCUUACGACCAGGGCUACACACGUGCUACAAUGGCAUAUACAAAGAGAAGCGACCUCGCGAGAGCAAGCGGACCUCAUAAAGUAUGUCGUAGUCCGGAUUGGAGUCUGCAACUCGACUCCAUGAAGUCGGAAUCGCUAGUAAUCGUAGAUCAGAAUGCUACGGUGAAUACGUUCCCGGGCCUUGUACACACCGCCCGUCACACCAUGGGAGUGGGUUGCAAAAGAAGUAGGUAGCUUAACCUUCGGGAGGGCGCUUACCACUUUGUGAUUCAUGACUGGGGUGAAGUCGUAACAAGGUAACCGUAGGGGAACCUGCGGUUGGAUCACCUCCUU